RNAcentral lists this ribosomal RNA (430 nucleotides) under Aurantimonas sp. VE-007. RNAcentral's name for it is "bacterial SSU rRNA". It matches the Rfam family "Bacterial small subunit ribosomal RNA", at positions 35 to 512 of the family's 1533-position model. Lineage: Bacteria; Pseudomonadati; Pseudomonadota; Alphaproteobacteria; Hyphomicrobiales; Aurantimonadaceae. The record is from RNAcentral.
GCUGGCGGCAGGCUUACACAUGCAAGUUCGAACGCCCCGCAAGGGGAGUGGCAGACUUCCUGAGUAACGCGUGGGAAUCUACCCUUUUCUACGGGAUAGCUCCGGGAAACUGGAAUUAAUACCGUAUAAGCCCUUCGGGGGAAAGAUUUAUCGGGAAAGGAUGAGCCCGCGUUGGAUUAGCUAGUUGGUGAGGUAACGGCCCACCAAGGCGACGAUCCAUAGCUGGUCUAAGAGGAUGAUCAGCCACAUUGGGACUGAGACACGGCCCAAACUCCUACGGGAGGCAGCAGUGGGGAAUAUUGGACAAUGGGCGCAAGCCUGAUCCAGCCAUGCCGCGUGAGUGAUGAAGGCCCUAGGGUUGUAAAGCUCUUUCAGUGGGGACGAUAAUGACGGUACCCACAGAAGAAGCCCCGGCUAACUUCGUGCCAGC